AAAGAGAGCUUCCCUUGUGAAUAUAUGCGCCCGCACCUGGACCUGGGCGUUGACAGGAACUGAAGCAGGCAUGGGAUCCUGCUGUUCCGUCUGCGUCUGUCAGGAAUAGGAAGACCACCUCCUGUGAGGCUGGGCCUUCCACCAGGUCUCCCUCCCUUGCGAAGGUUUUGCUUGGAAGAAGGCCAUGAGGCUGCAGUACUGACCACAUGCCAGACUUUUCCCUCAGGCCCUGGUGGAAGCCCCGGUUAAUGAGGUUGAGCACCUCUGACUUUUAGGACAGUCAGAGAAAAACCCCACGGCCAUCAUUCAAGGUCGGCAGGAGAGGCCAUGCCCAGCCCACAGCUCUGUUAACCAGCUAUUGCUCCAAAGGUGUUCCUGUGGAAAUCUUGAGGCCAUGUUAUAAGAGAACAAAGGGCACUGGACGUGGGAGGAGAACUGCCUGAAGGAUCAAUCCAGAGCAGCGCUGCCCAGUCAGGUGAGUCUCGGAUGGUAUGCUGACCCGAGAUGGAGAGAAAGACGAAACACAGCCAUCCUGAGCCAAACAAGCCUCAGCUUCCUGAGAACCCCUGAAGGUGUAUUAUUGAUAAUGAAAUAAAAAGUACAGUUCCUCUUUUGCUAAAAGUAUCACAUUCUUCUUUAAGAUCUGCAGACACAGGUCACCACGCCCCUCGCUCCCAGGCUGUGUUAGCAGCGGUGAGGACACUGACCCAC
Long non-coding RNA from Manis pentadactyla (Chinese pangolin), 711 nucleotides. RefSeq lists it as uncharacterized. The transcript is spliced from 3 exons. NCBI's taxonomy places the organism in Eukaryota, Metazoa, Chordata, Mammalia, Pholidota, Manidae. The record is from RefSeq and is a predicted model, not a curated record.